AUUGAACGCUGGCGGCAUGCUUUACACAUGCAAGUCGAACGGUAACAGGCCUUCGGGUGCUGACGAGUGGCGAACGGGUGCGUAAUGCAUCGGAACGUGCCCAGAGGUGGGGGAUAACGCAGCGAAAGCUGUGCUAAUACCGCAUGUGAUCUGAGGAUGAAAGCGGGGGACCAGGCAGCAAUGUUUGGCCUCGCGCCUUUGGAGCGGCCGAUGUCGGAUUAGGUAGUUGGUGGGGUAAAGGCCUACCAAGCCGACGAUCUGUAGCUGGUCUGAGAGGACGACCAGCCACACUGGGACUGAGACACGGCCCAGACUCCUACGGGAGGCAGCAGUGGGGAAUUUUGGACAAUGGGCGCAAGCCUGAUCCAGCAACGCCGCGUGCGGGAAGAAGGCCUUCGGGUUGUAAACCGCUUUUGUACGGAACGAAAAGGCUCUGGCUAAUACCUGGGGCUGAUGACGGUACCGUAAGAAUAAGCACCGGCUAACUACGUG
This 492-nucleotide ribosomal RNA is filed under the name uncultured bacterium. RNAcentral's name for it is "partial 16S ribosomal RNA". It matches the Rfam family "Bacterial small subunit ribosomal RNA", at positions 30 to 507 of the family's 1533-position model. The record is from RNAcentral.